Molecule: non-coding RNA, 24 nt
Filed under: Macaca fascicularis (crab-eating macaque)
Lineage: Eukaryota; Metazoa; Chordata; Mammalia; Primates; Cercopithecidae
Source: RNAcentral
GAAGGACCUGCACCUCCGCCCACA